CAGCUCACCCACCCAGGGUCACGUGAUUUGCACAAAUUCUUUGCCCUCCCUGGACCUCAAUUAACCCAUCCACUGUCCCACACUGGGGAUAGGACGAGACAGUUUCAAAGACUGUCUUAGGCAAUGCUGAUGGCCUUGGUGCUUUAGGGGAAGGUGGUGAUGUCACAGAAGUAAAGAGUGACCCUGUCCGAGGCUGAGCUGAAACUCCAGACCGCUGGGGCAAGGGUGGGAGUGUGCUGGGUGGAAUGGUAUACAAUCCACCUCCCUCCGUAAAGGGUUUUGGGGAACAGAACAUCAAGGUGUUUCCCUGCCUAAAGUUCACUGUCUUCAAAUGACCAAGAGCAGCUACUAGCUCUGAGGCAAAAUCGAAGCGGCAUUAGUGCAAAUUUCCUGUACAGAUCUAGAAAGCAGAAGGCAGCAGAAAGAGGCCAGCUUCCAGGGUUGCUGGGUGGCUCAAGGAGUGUUUCAGGUUUGGGGAGACUGUUCUGGCUUGGUGUCUCCAGCUCUGGGGAACCCCUCAUGCCCACCUUGGAAGAAAUGGUGUAAAAGGACUUGACCUCCAACUCUGAUCUUGGACUUCGACGGCACCUACAGAGGGACAUGGAUCAUUCCAAGAGAAAGGAGGACCAGACCCGGUCCUGGCUUCAGGAUAGCCUCACUGGGUUGCAGAGACACAUGCCAGUGGACCCAGCUGCCUGCCCUUCCUCAGCACCCCCAGCACUUCCUACAAGCCUAGCUCUGCCCAUGCUGCUUCCUGAGCCCACAGAGCCCAUCCCAUGCCCUUCUAGAAGCCAACACUCCUCAUCUGUUCAGUGACUGGCUGACUAUCUGCCUUGGUCUGAGCUUAUUCCAGGACCCAACUCCCUUACUCCCAUGGAGAGGCCUGGCUGUAUGGACACUUCCAAAAGACCACCUUGGCCUUCGAUGCACUUGAAGCCAUGGAGAAAGAGAGAAGCUGCCAGUGAGCGGGCAGCACUGACCCCUGGCUGGCCUGGGAGGACACACUGUUGGCUUCCUGGCUGUGGCAAUAAUCGGUGCCUGGGUGCUUCCUCCCAAGCUGGCUGUCCCAAGCAGGAAGACCACAGGGCAGGUUCCUCCCAAGGGCCACACUGCCUGGCCAAUGAAGUAAUGCUGGCACAAUGCCCUUUCAGAGUUGCAAAAGAAUGAUAACCUUUGAUUGCCCAAGAUGGUCAACAGCCACUCCUGGGCUCUGCUACUGGCAAAAUAUGAGCAAUUCAUUUAUUCAACAAGAAGUUUAUUGAGCACCUAUUAUUUCCAGGCACUUUCCAAAUGGUACAAAGGCAAAAUCCCUGCUCUCAAGGAGCUUCCAUUCUCUUCAGAAGGAGACAAGCAACACAGAAUAUAAUACAAAAAAGUAUAGUAUAGAAGACUGCAAUAAAUUGCACGGAUGAAAAAAUAAAUCAAAAAGAGCACAAUGUUCCUCACCUCCACCGCAGCUCAAAAAGAAGGUGACCUUUGAGACCUGAAGGAGGUGAUGGAGGGAGCCAUGAUAAUACCUAGGGGAAGAGCAUUCCAGCAAAGGACACAGCACAGGCAAAGGUCCUGAGGCAGGAUGCAUCUGACACUUUUGGGGACAGGCAGGAGGGUAGUGUGGUUGGAGGUGGAAGGACAGAAGCUAGCCAUUGCCCUUGGCCCUGGGCACCACCCUGUGAAACGAAGCCUCUUCCCUCAUUGUACAGAUUAUAAAAUUGAGGUCCCGAAAGGUCACACAGGCUACACAUGGCAGAUUCAAGCCAGACUUAUUCAAGCAUGAAGCCCAAGUUCUCCACACUCUGCUUCACUCCCAGCCUGGUCAGGAUCCCAGCGAGGAGAUCCAGCCACAGACCUCAAGGGAGGGGAGCAAAGUCAGGACACCCGC
RNAcentral lists this long non-coding RNA (1879 nucleotides) under Heterocephalus glaber (naked mole-rat). RNAcentral describes it as "lncRNA (ENSHGLG00100045914.1)". Lineage: Eukaryota; Metazoa; Chordata; Mammalia; Rodentia; Bathyergidae. The record is from RNAcentral.